RNAcentral lists this ribosomal RNA (433 nucleotides) under uncultured bacterium. Its description in RNAcentral is "partial 16S ribosomal RNA". It matches the Rfam family "Bacterial small subunit ribosomal RNA", at positions 29 to 507 of the family's 1533-position model. The record is from RNAcentral.
AACGAACGCUGGCGGCAUGCCUAACACAUGCAAGUCGAACGAGACCUUCGUGUCUAGUGGCGCCCGGGUGCGCAACACGUUGGAACCUGCCCUUAGGUUCUGAAUAACUCCCCGAAAGGGGUCCUAAUACCGGAUUAUAUCUUCGGACCAAAGAUGUAUCGCCUUUGGAUGUGCCCGAGUUUGAUUAGUGUGUUGGUAGGGUACAAGCAUCCCAAGACGACGAUGCAUACCUGGUCUGAGAGGAUGAUCAGCCACACUGGGACUCAGACCCGGCCCAGACUCCUAGGGGAAGCAGCGGGUGGGAAAAUUGGACAAUGAGCGAGAGGCUGAUCCAGCGCUGCAGCGAGAGUGAUGAACGGGUUAGGGUCGUAAAGCUCUUUUACCCGAGAUGAUAGUGACAGUACCGAGAGAAGAAGCGCCGGCUAACUCCGUG